AAUCAACGCUGGCGGCGUGCCUAACACAUGCAAGUCGAGCGCGAAAGGGGAGCAAUCCCCAAGUAGAGCGGCGAACGGGUGAGUAACGCGUGGGUAAUCUGCCUCCGAGUGGGGAACAACACCGGGAAACUGGUGCUAAUACCGCAUGACAUCGUUGGACCUUCGGAUCUGACGAUCAAAGCCGGGGACCGCAAGGCCUGGCGCUGGAGAGGAGCCCGCGUCCGANAGUCUAGUUGGUGGGGUAAUGGCCCACCAAGGCUACGAUCGGUAGCCGGCCUGAGAGGGCGGACGGCCACACUGGGAC
RNAcentral lists this ribosomal RNA (304 nucleotides) under uncultured bacterium. RNAcentral's name for it is "bacterial SSU rRNA". It matches the Rfam family "Bacterial small subunit ribosomal RNA", at positions 29 to 319 of the family's 1533-position model. The record is from RNAcentral.